This 332-nucleotide long non-coding RNA is filed under the name Equus caballus (horse). RNAcentral's name for it is "lncRNA (ENSECAG00000059612.1)". Lineage: Eukaryota; Metazoa; Chordata; Mammalia; Perissodactyla; Equidae. The record is from RNAcentral.
CAAGAAGACAAGUCUUUUUUCUGUUGGGCUCCGCUAUGGAGGUAGAGUGUGAGAACUACCCCUUUUGGUCUCUUGACUCCAUUUUAACGAGGUUUCGGUUUAUUAGUUUCUACAGUUUCUGAGAUCCCUAUUCAAACGUCCUCUUCUCCCUGGGCCAAUGGAAGCUUCCUUUGCCGGGUGAGAUGGAAGUGGACUCUCAGAUUGGCGCUGAAAAGGAAGAAGAAUGGAGGGGGGGGUCCCAGGGGGGCCACUUACUUCCCAGUGCUUUUCUGGGCCUUUUUCCUCCUCCUCCUCCUCCCAAGUUUCGAAUAAAGACAGCUGCUUCUUUGAGA